CCUACGGGUGGCAGCAGUGAGGAAUAUUGGUCAAUGGACGAGAGUCUGAACCAGCAAUGCCGCGUGAAGGAAGAAGGCUUUCGGGUUGUAAACUUCUUUGACAGGGGAAGAGCAGAAGACGGUACCCUGAAAACAAGCCACGGCUAACUACGUGCCAGCAGCCGCGGUAAUACGUAGGUGGCAAGCGUUGUCCGGAUUUACUGGGUGUAAAGGGCGUGUAGCCGGGAAGGCAAGUCAGAUGUGAAAUCUGGAGGCUCAACCUCCAAAUUGAAUUUGAAACUGUUUGUCUUGAGUACUGGAGAGGCAGACGGAAUUCCUUGUGUAGCGGUGAAAUGCGUAGAUAUAAGGAGGAACACCAGUGGCGAAGGCGGUCUGCUGGACAGAGACUGACGGUGAGGCGCGAAAGCGUGGGGAGCAAACAGGAUUAGAUACCCGUGUAGUC
This 442-nucleotide ribosomal RNA is filed under the name uncultured bacterium. RNAcentral describes it as "partial 16S ribosomal RNA". It matches the Rfam family "Bacterial small subunit ribosomal RNA", at positions 338 to 795 of the family's 1533-position model. The record is from RNAcentral.